CCUACGGGAGGCAGCAGUGAGGAAUAUUGGUCAAUGGACGAGAGUCUGAACCAGCCAAGUAGCGUGAAGGAUGACUGCCCUAUGGGUUGUAAACUUCUUUUAUAUGGGAAUAAAAUGUUCCACGUGUGGGAUUUUGUAUGUACCAUAUGAAUAAGGAUCGGCUAACUCCGUUCCAGCAGCCGCGGUAAUACGGAGGAUCCGAGCGUUAUCCGGAUUUAUUGGGUUUAAAGGGAGCGUAGGUGGAUUGUUAAGUCAGUUGUGAAAGUUUGCGGCUCAACCGUAAAAUUGCAGUUGAAACUGGCAGUCUUGAGUACAGUAGAGGUGGGCGGAAUUCGUGGUGUAGCGGUGAAAUGCUUAGAUAUCACGAAGAACACCGAUUGCGAAGGCAGUUCACUGGACUGCAACUGACACUGAGGCUCGAAAGUGUGGGUAUCAAACAGGAUUAGAUACCCUUGUAGUC
This 460-nucleotide ribosomal RNA is filed under the name uncultured bacterium. Its description in RNAcentral is "partial 16S ribosomal RNA". It matches the Rfam family "Bacterial small subunit ribosomal RNA", at positions 338 to 795 of the family's 1533-position model. The record is from RNAcentral.